GAUGAACGCUGGCGGCGUGCCUAAUACAUGCAAGUCGAGCGAACAGACGAGGAGCUUGCUCCUCUGACGUUAGCGGCGGACGGGUGAGUAACACGUGGAUAACCUACCUAUAAGACUGGGAUAACUUCGGGAAACCGGAGCUAAUACCGGAUAAUAUAUUGAACCGCAUGGUUCAAUAGUGAAGACGGUUUUGCUGUCACUUAUAGAUGGAUCCGCGCCGCAUUAGCUAGUUGGUAAGGUAACGGCUUACCAAGGCAACGAUGCGUAGCCGACCUGAGAGGGUGAUCGGCCACACUGGAACUGAGACACGGUCCAGACUCCUACGGGAGGCAGCAGUAGGGAAUCUUCCGCAAUGGGCGAAAGCCUGACGGAGCAACGCCGCGUGAGUGAUGAAGGUCUCCGGAUCGUAAAACUCUGUUAUUAGGGAAGAACAAAUGUGUAAGUAACUAUGCACGUCUUGACGGUACCUAAUCAGAAAGCCACGGCUAACUACGUG
This 496-nucleotide ribosomal RNA is filed under the name uncultured bacterium. Its description in RNAcentral is "partial 16S ribosomal RNA". It matches the Rfam family "Bacterial small subunit ribosomal RNA", at positions 28 to 507 of the family's 1533-position model. The record is from RNAcentral.